GGUAAUCUGUCACCUGGAAAAGUUAGGGGUGAACAGAGUAUGGAGCCAGCCUAGGCUGUUGUAGCCCAGUAAGACCAUGUCUUCUAAGGUGUUUGAGUGGAAGGCAUAAGAAUACUGUUUUGAGUAAUCAUCCUGGGAGUCAAAGUUUCAUCCAGGUUGCUUAAAUAAAACCCAAUUUUAACUUUUGUUAUUUUUUCAGACAGGGCUUAUCUUUUUUUGUUGUUUUUUCGAGACAGGGUUUCUCUGUGUAGCCCUGGCUGUCCUGGAACUCACUUUGUGGACCAGGCUGGCCUCGAACUCAGAAAUCCACCUGCCUCUGGGUGGGAGGGAGGCUCCACUUAUCAUUUCUGGAGACUGAGGCAGAUUGUUACUGUGAGUUUUGAGUUGAGCCUGUGAAUUCACAUUAGUGAAUUCUUUUUGGUUUUUCAAGACCGGGUUUGACCAGGCUGGACUCAAACUCAGAGUUUGGGAGGCAGUGCUUCUGCCUCCCAAGUGCUGGGAUUAAAGGCGUGCACCACCAUGCCCGGCUUCAGGGCUUAUCUAUAGCCCUAGCUGUCUUGAAACUUGUUCUGUAGACCAGGUUGGCCUGGCUCUGCCUCCCAAGAGAUUAAAGGCAUGCACUAUCACGCCCAGUUUUUAAAUUUGUAAGAUUUAAAAUGUUUUAAAUGUAUGUACGUUUGCCUGUAUGUAUAUGCACCAUGUGCAUACUUGUUACCUGAGGUCAGAAAGGGGUAAUUAAUUGGUCCCUGAAAUUCCUUGGAGUUAGCCAUGAAUAUGAGCCACCAUAUGGAUGCUAGGAACUGAACCCAGGUCUCUUCAAGGUCCAGCGGUGCUUAACUGCUGCACCAUCUCUUCAGCCCCUAAAUUUGAUUAGAAGUGCAUUGUAAUAGAUAAAUAAAAACCUAUUUGGUGGUGGUGCACCAAAUAUUUAAUCCCAGCACUCUGGAGGGAGAGGCAGUCACAUCUGAGUUUGAGGCCAUCCUGCUCUACACAACAAGUUCAGGACAGUCAGGGCUUUAAAGAAAAACUUUUAUCUCCAGAAAAUAAAUAAAUGAAACUACAUUUUUCUUUUUCUAUCUGGAGAGAUGGUUCCACAGUUAAGAAUGCCUUUGGCUCCUCCAGAGGAAGAGUUUGGUCUGGCAGCCUAGAAUUAUAGCUCUGAGAGAUUUGACUUUUUUGGCUUCCACAGGUACCCACCCAGCAUGUAAGCAUGCAUAUGCAUAUAUACAUACCUAUAAACUUGUUUAUUUUUCAAGACAGGGUUUCUCUGUGUAGCCUUGGCUGUCCUGGAACUCUUCUGUAGGCCAGGCUGGCCUUGAACUCAGAAAUCUACCUGCCUCUGCAACUCUUUAAUUGUUGUGUUUUGAGGCUGAGUCUCACUGUGUAUCUCUCACUGGACUAGAACUCAGAGUUUUACCUGCCAUUCUGCACCACAUGCAUGCCUGGUGCCUUUAGAAGUCAGAAGAGGGCAUUGGUUUCUCUGGAACUGGAGUCAGAUGGUUGUGAACUGCAAUGUGGAUGCUGAGAAUUGAGGCUGGAUCCUCUGCAAGAGCAACAAGUGCUCUUCAUUGCUGAGCCAUCUCUCCAGCCUGCUAAAUGCUGGGACUUUAAGGAUGUGUGCUACAACUAACAUUAUUCUUAAUGAAAAGUUGUGAGUUGAUGGUUUCUACAUCAUAGACUGGCAAUGGUCCUGUGAAUGGUAAGCCAGUGCCCCACCCCACCCUGUAAUGCAUCUCCGACCCUUUCUAAUUUUUAUACAAUACUUAGAAUUAUACACCUGUUAUCACCAGUCUGAGUUUAUAACUGUGUUUUCUAAGCAACAGAUGCACACUGUGCUCAUUGAGGUUUUAUUGUUGACUAAACUGUAGCUAUGUAUGUCUCCAAAAGAACUGAGUAUUUGCAAACAGCCCACGAACCUUAAGAUUACCUUGAUAUUACCUGUCAGCCCUUUGGAAAGACUUUCUGACUUCAGGCUUUGAUUAAAAGGGAUUUGAAAGAGUCAAAUACAGUGUAUAAGCCUUGAUUUAUCUUAGUUCCAUGAGAAAAGAGGUCAGAUAUUGAAUACAGGAUAAUAGUAAAUGGUUUGGAAGAAUUGUGUCACUUUUUAGAUGUAAUAAUGGCACUAUAGUUAAUUAGAAGAAUAACCUUAGUUUUUAAGGGUAGGAAGAAGUAGCCGGGCGUGGUGGAGCACGCCUUUAAUCCCAGCAGAGGCAGGCGGAUUUCUGAGUUUGAGGCCAGCCUGGUCCACAGAGUGAGUUCCAGGACAGCCAGGGCUACAGAGAAACCCUGUCUCAAAAAAAAAAAAAAACCCAAAGGAGUAGGAAGAAGUAUUCUGACCUCUAAUUUACUUUCAAGUAGUUCAACAGAAUUCAUGGCUAUAAAUAGAUGGAGCCAGUAUAGCAAUAUGUUACAGUUGUCACUAGUGGUAUAUUGCUUUGCUGUUUGUUAUGGUGUUUCCCUUUUUCCUGUAUCUUUUAAUGGUCGCAAUAAAAAGAAAUCCUGUUUUU
Molecule: long non-coding RNA, 2507 nt
Filed under: Mus musculus (house mouse)
Lineage: Eukaryota; Metazoa; Chordata; Mammalia; Rodentia; Muridae
Description: long non-coding RNA chr1:59716537-59719044
Source: RNAcentral